Molecule: ribosomal RNA, 439 nt
Filed under: uncultured bacterium
Lineage: Bacteria
Description: partial 16S ribosomal RNA
Rfam family: Bacterial small subunit ribosomal RNA
Source: RNAcentral
AACGAACGCUGGCGGCAUGCCUAACACAUGCAAGUCGAACGAGACCUUCGGGUCUAGUGGCGCACGGGUGCGUAACGCGUGGGAACCUGCCCUUAGGUUCGGAAUAACUCCCCGAAAGGGGUGCUAAUACCGGAUAAUGUCUUCGGACCAAAGAUUUAUCGCCUUUGGAUGGGCCCGCGUUCGAUUAGCUAGUUGGUAGGGUAAAAGCCUACCAAGGCGACGAUCCAUAGCUGGUCUGAGAGGAUGAUCAGCCACACUGGGACUGAGACACGGCCCAGACGCCGACGGGGGGCGGCAGGGGGGAGGGGUGUUAGAUGGGAGCGCGCGGGGGGCAGAGACGUCGCGUGGGGGAUGAGGGGCAACGGGUUGGAGAAGCCUGGCGCUAGGGACGCAGCGUGUUGUGACGGUACAUAGAUAAGAAGCACCGGCUAACUACGUG